Molecule: ribosomal RNA, 252 nt
Filed under: uncultured bacterium
Lineage: Bacteria
Description: partial 16S ribosomal RNA
Rfam family: Bacterial small subunit ribosomal RNA
Source: RNAcentral
UACGUAGGUCCCGAGCGUUGUCCGGAUUUAUUGGGCGUAAAGCGAGCGCAGGCGGUUUGAUAAGUCAGAAGUAAAAGGCUGUGGCUCAACCAUAGUACGCUUUUGAAACUGUCAAACUUGAGUGCAGAAGGGGGGAGUGGAAUUCCAUGUGUUGCGGUGAAAUGCGUAGAUAUAUGUAGGAACACCGGUGGCGAAAGCGGCUCUCUGGUCUGUAGCUGACGCUGAGGCUCGAAAGCGUGGGGAGCGAACAGG